AUUGAACGCUGGCGGAAUGCUUUACACAUGCAAGUCGAGCGGCAGCGCGGGGGCAACCCUGGCGGCGAGCGGCGAACAGGUGAGUAACAUAUCGGAACGUACCCAGUCGUGGGGGAUAACUAUCCGAAAGGAUAGCUAAUACCGCAUACGUCCUGAGGGAGAAAGCGGGGGAUCGCAAGACCUCGCGCGAUUGGAGCGGCCGAUAUCGGAUUAGCUAGUUGGUGGGGUAAAGGCUCACCAAGGCGACGAUCCGUAGCGGGUCUGAGAGGACGACCCGCCACACUGGAACUGAGACACGGUCCAGACUCCUACGGGAGGCAGCAGUGGGGAAUUUUGGACAAUGGGGGCAACCCUGAUCCAGCCAUUCCGCGUGAGUG
Molecule: ribosomal RNA, 377 nt
Filed under: uncultured bacterium
Lineage: Bacteria
Description: bacterial SSU rRNA
Rfam family: Bacterial small subunit ribosomal RNA
Source: RNAcentral